Molecule: non-coding RNA, 87 nt
Organism: Picea glauca (white spruce)
Lineage: Eukaryota; Viridiplantae; Streptophyta; Pinopsida; Pinales; Pinaceae
Source: Rfam
AUCUGCCUGGCUCUCUGCAUGCCAUCUGAGAAGCCUGUCAAAACAUUAGAUAUGCUCCAUAGUUGGCCUGCAGUGAGCCAUGCAGGA